UGCUCUCUGCCCUGCAGGUGAGGUCCAGACGCCCAGGCGGAAUGAUAAUUCAAUGGGAAAGCUUACAGGGGCGCGGUGUGCCAGCCCACCAGCGAGUGGGACGCCUGAUGCGCCUACAAGCGAUCCCACCUGUUGGUACUCGCUAGGAGGCCAACGGAUCCACGGCAGGUGUGGAGAGCAG
Molecule: non-coding RNA, 181 nt
Filed under: Desulfuromonas sp. DDH964
Lineage: Bacteria; Pseudomonadati; Thermodesulfobacteriota; Desulfuromonadia; Desulfuromonadales; Desulfuromonadaceae
Description: 6S / SsrS RNA
Rfam family: 6S / SsrS RNA
About the family: E. coli 6S RNA was the first non coding RNA to be sequenced, but its function was unknown until recently. It consists of 184 nucleotides that fold into an extended hairpin structure with a large single-stranded internal bulge.
Source: Rfam by way of RNAcentral